Molecule: ribosomal RNA, 478 nt
Filed under: uncultured bacterium
Lineage: Bacteria
Description: partial 16S ribosomal RNA
Rfam family: Bacterial small subunit ribosomal RNA
Source: RNAcentral
GAUGAACGCUGGCGGCGUGCUUAACACAUGCCAGUCGAACGAGAAGUGAAGACGGAAACCUUCGGGCGGAAGGCUUUAUUUCGAGUGGCGGACGGGUGAGUAACGCGUGGGUAACCUGCCUCAUACAGGGGGAUAACAGUUGGAAACGACUGUUAAUACCGCAUAAGACCACAGCACCGCAUGGUGCGGGGGUAAAAACUCCGGUGGUAUGAGAUGGACCCGCGUUCGAUUAGCCAGUUGGCGGGGUAACGGCCCACCAAAGCGACGAUCGAUAGCCGAUCUGAGAGGAUGACCGGCCACAUUGGGACUGAGACACGGCCCAAACUCCUACGGGAGGCAGCAGUGGGGAAUAUUGCACAAUGGGGGAAACCCUGAUGCAGCGACGCCGCGUGAGUGAAGAAGUAUUUCGGUAUGUAAAGCUCUAUCAGCAGGGAAGAAAAUGACGGUACCUGAGUAAGAAGCCCCGGCUAACUACGUC